Molecule: ribosomal RNA, 243 nt
Filed under: uncultured bacterium
Lineage: Bacteria
Description: partial 16S ribosomal RNA
Rfam family: Bacterial small subunit ribosomal RNA
Source: RNAcentral
GCAAGCGUUGUUCGGAUUUACUGGGCGUAAAGGGCGCGUAGGCGACCUGGUAAGUAGGGGGUGAAAUCCUGCGGCUUAACCGCAGGGCUGCCUUCUAAACUGUCAGGCUUGAGCACGGUAGAGGCAGAUGGAAUUCCCGGUGUAGCGGUGGAAUGCGUAGAGAUCGGGAAGAACAUCAGUGGCGAAGGCGGUCUGCUGGGCCGUUGCUGACGCUGAGGCGCGACAGCGUGGGGAGCAAACAGG